UGUGAAAUAUUAACAUUUGUUGUUUUUCAGAUCAGCUGCUAUAGAAGACAAACUGAAAUCUGAGUGCAGAGACAAGCAAAGGAAUACUGCAAGGCUCUGGUGCAAAAUAUUGUAUGCCAGGAGUCAGGACGACUAGGCUGUGCCCAGGUCUCCGGAACCUGCUACGACGCUCAGCUCCAUCAGCCCUCCAUCUGCGCCUUCGGAUCCACCAGCUCUGUCUCCAUCGGUCGGCCCCCAGAUGUUGGCAGCCACACCAUCUACAUCUUGGCUCCUCGCUCCCUCGAUUCCGCCGUGUGUUGUCAGCACUGGGAUGCUCUGGGUCUGUGCCAUGUGCCAAACACCAUCUAAGCUGCCAGGGCAUCAUCGUCAUCCUCCCAUCACCAUCCCUUCGCCACAUCCUGCCAUCAUCCCGCACUUUUGCCUCUCACCAUCCCUACGCCAUCUCCUUGUCCACCUCCAAAACCCCCUCCAUCCCUCCCUAUUCUGUUGCUUGAACUUUAUCAUCUUCAGUCUUUG
Molecule: long non-coding RNA, 516 nt
Organism: Sinocyclocheilus rhinocerous
Lineage: Eukaryota; Metazoa; Chordata; Actinopteri; Cypriniformes; Cyprinidae
Exons: 2
Source: RefSeq, a predicted model, not a curated record